GCACCUGUUGAAAAGGAAAAUUGAUUAUUUUAUAUUUUCAAAACUGAGCAGCUAUUCCCAGCUGCUGAAUGCUCCAGAAGCUGAUGAAGCUCACAUGCAACAGGGAGGAAUACAUUAGCAGCUCCUCAUCAGACAGCAGCAAAACUUCCACCCCUCCACAUCUAUACCUUGGAAGUGAAAGAGUGACUGACACAUAAGAUAUGCCAGUGCAAACACUUCAAGGGAUGCAACUAAGCAAGAGCAAGCCACAGUAAAGACACAAGCUUUCGGAAGAGCAAGAAGGCUCUUUUUGUGGCCCAGGAGAAAAUUAGCUGUCUACAGUAAGUAUCACGUGCAUUGUUGAUGCAUAGACCACCGGUAACCAGCUUGAUAUUUUAUUGCUACAAUGGACUAAUAAAAGGCCACCAGUCAAAAACAGCAGGAAGAAAAUUCCUCUCUACUUUAAAACAAUAUAUGUGACUCAGAAACACUGGAGCAACAGCAAGUUGGAACCUCGCAAUGCUAACUGUACGAGGACUGGAGAAUUACACUUUGCAACCUCUGAUUUUUUUUGUUGCUGAGGUUAAAUCCCAACAAGUUUAGCUAACUGCAUUCUAUGACUGAGAAGAACUAUCACAAACAGUAAAAAUUUAUUUUCUGCCAUGCUUGGAAAAGAACCAUUUCUUCUGGCUAGUGUUCUCCUACAUAAGUAUAAAUGCCUCCCAUUACCAUUAACACAGAAAGGAGAGCUCUUAAGCAUUAGACUAGAACUCAGAAGAUCUUGCAUCUAAUCAUACUUCUGCUACAGCAUUUCUACAUGACCUUGGGCCAGACACACAAAAUUCUAUCUAUACUUCAGUCUACUACUGGUAAAUGGAGAUAAUGAUAUAUUUACCCCUUACAGCAGCAUUGUGAAGUCAAACUCAGCUUACUCUAAUAUUGACAUUUGUUUUCUGAUACUGAAAUGAUAAAAGUCGUUAAAGGCCUGUUGCAGUAAGGUUAGAGAGGAGUCUGACUUUCUUUUUUGCAAGUUUACCUUUCCCCUAACACAUCAUUUAAGGAAAAAAGAGUAUUAUUUUGGAAACAGUCUCUGCUAAACAGCACGAGGAAGACUUGUAUGUGGAAGAGCAGCUGCAGAAAUAGAAUAUGCAGUAGAAGAGGAAGAAAACUCCACUCUUGUUCUGUGGAAGAUCACAGAACCUACCUACAGAAGGGCUGAUAACGUAAGCUCAGUGUAUUCUAACAACCAGAAUUUCAACAUUAUAAAAGGAGAAAUGUCUGCAGAUGGCAGCAUGGUGAAAUUACAACCUCUGUCAACUGAAAUGGCAAAGGGGAUAUGGAAAAGUGGCUCCAGUGUAAUAUCAAAACCACGUUGUAGGUUUUUUGGACAGACAGAAAGUGAAUUUACAGAGAAUACAAUUUAGAUGUGCUUUUACGAAAUAAAAGCCACAGUACCAUUUGA
Molecule: long non-coding RNA, 1441 nt
Organism: Pipra filicauda (Wire-tailed manakin)
Lineage: Eukaryota; Metazoa; Chordata; Aves; Passeriformes; Pipridae
Exons: 3
Source: RefSeq, a predicted model, not a curated record